Limanda limanda (common dab) is the source of this 853-nucleotide long non-coding RNA. RefSeq lists it as uncharacterized. The record is from RefSeq and is a predicted model, not a curated record. The transcript is spliced from 2 exons. Lineage: Eukaryota; Metazoa; Chordata; Actinopteri; Pleuronectiformes; Pleuronectidae.
UGUUAGUAGCAUGGUGGGGUUCAGGAAACGUGUUGAGGGGGUCAGAGCAAUAAGAUUUUACUCACAAGCGUUAAAUUAUCCAGUUUUUGUAUUAAAUUUAUCUAGAUGCUGUUGACAGCUACUUAGCUUGUUUACGCUACUAGUUUAAGCUCCUUUUUUUCACAACGUUUCGUUUAGCAACUUUAGCUGAAACUGUGAACACGUGGAGAGGCUCGAUAGUCCGCUGGGUGAGUGUGUCUUCAAUUAAAUGAUCAAUUACUCUAGUUUUUAUCGUUUGCGUGUUUCAAACAUCACCAUCGAUCCUCUUGAUGGGGUUAACCCACCGCUGGCAGACACGUGGCGAGGAAUAGUCCUGUUGUUCAAGCGAUACGCCAGACCCCGGUUCGAAUAUUGGUGAUUGUUAAAUUCUCGAAAAUUUAGGAAUGAUCCGAACACGAUAGAAUAUCUUCUGAAGUCAAAACAAUGUUUAUUUUAAUUCGGCGUAUAUUCUAUAACAUGAAUUUGAUUUUUGUGCAUUAUUUCGGUGUAUACAUGUAUCCCAGUGUUUGUGUAAUUCCACAAACGCUUAGACUAUUGCACAAACAAAUUUCACUUUUGUUUUGUCUCUGUGUUUGUUUUAAAGGUAAAAUGUCGAAUCUUCAUUGUGAACAUCUAAAAAUCUAAAUGCAUCUUCUUACAGGCCUCCUGAACAAAAUGUGUUCCAGUGACUGAGCUCGUGGCCUCACAUGGUCGACCUGCUGAUGUCACCGCAGAGCUUCUGUUUCGAGUCAACUACCACAAUUACUAAAAGGGUUUGUCUUUGUUUGUUUUAUUAUUAAAAAAAACUUCACAAUAAAAUAAGUUGUGGAAUAAA